Long non-coding RNA from Amphimedon queenslandica, 993 nucleotides. RefSeq lists it as uncharacterized. Lineage: Eukaryota; Metazoa; Porifera; Demospongiae; Haplosclerida; Niphatidae. The transcript is spliced from 2 exons. The record is from RefSeq and is a predicted model, not a curated record.
AAUAACAAUGAUCUGUGAACAAUAAUAAUUUGUUAUUUUUUAUUGGUAAAUUAUUUCUUUUUGCGGCUUCUUGUCUGUAGCAAGCUUCUGCAGGCCCAGGCCUAUGAAUAUACUUUAUUGUUUAAAGAUAUUCAUGUGGGGGGAGCCCUGGGGAAAUCCCCAGGGACAUAUUACGCAUCUUCAUUGAUUAAUAAUGUGAUUCCUGUAUUUGGAAUGUAUGUGUUGCUUUGUGUGUGUGAACUUUGCUUCUGGGAAAGUAAAUGGAUUAUUCAUUGAUUAAUGCGUUGGUCUUUGGAAAAAGCUUAAGCAUGCCAUUACUGCUAAUAUUGAUGUCUAGCUUCUAUUUUUACACAUUUACAUGUACAGACACACACACACACACACACAUACAAAGCAUGUUUACAAUUAUCAAAAUUCACAUAACAUUAUGCUCCUGGGUAGUAUUAUCCACUUAAUCACUUGUACAUGUGCAUCCAUGCAUGCAGCAUGCUCCCCUGAUGUAGGUGCUAUUGUAACAAUGUACUCUUGAGUUUUGAUACUUUAUAUAUACUCAUCAGUUUGACACAUAAGCAAGCAUCAGUCAUAGCUUAGCAAACAAAGUAUGAGAGUCAUGCACAGUGUUAUAUUGAAAGGAGUGGGAGAUGGAAAGAGGGUAUUCCAUAUUGCAUAUUGUUAGAGAGAUAGCUGUUAGGCAUGUGAUUGCUAGCAUGGCAAGGAAAUGAGCCAAAGCAAAUGAGUGGGAGAGAAAGGGGAUACAAGAGGUGAACAUGGACACCCUAUCAGUAUGGAUGGGGGCACAUUGUAGAACUACUCUUUUCACUCUGACAUCAAACAAGUUUGUUUGUUCGAGCCAUUUUUAGACAAUGUGAAGAUCCAGCUGUUUCAUGUGACCCUUUUGUAGUUUUUUGUGUUAGAGCUCGUGUUGGCUUGUUAGGGAACAGUGUCAGGAUUAGGAUGAUGACCCUCUGUCACUUUCUGAUUACAAUUUCCAAA